AGGCUUAACACAUGCAAGUCGAGGGGCAGCGGUAUCGAAAGCUUGCUUUCGGUAGCCGGCGACCGGCGCACGGGUGAGUAACGCGUAUCGAACCUGCCCAUCACUCGGGAAUAGCCUUGCGAAAGUAAGAUUAAUGCCCGGUGUUUUCAGAGUCCCGCAUGAGGCUUUGAACAAAGAUUUAUCGGUAUGAGAUGGCGAUGCGUCCCAUUAGCUUGUUGGCGGGGUAACGGCCCACCAAGGCAUCGAUGGGUAGGGGUUCUGAGAGGAAGGUCCCCCACAUUGGAACUGAGACACGGUCCAAACUCCUACGGGAGGCAGCAGUGAGGAAUAUUGGUCAAUGGGCGGAAGCCUGAACCAGCCAAGUAGCGUGCAGGAAGACGGCCCUCCGGGUUGUAAACUGCUUUUAGUUGGGAAUAAAACGGGGCUCGUGAGCCCCCUUGCAUGUACCAUCAGAAAAAGGACCGGCUAAUUCCGUGCCAGCAGCCGCGGUAAUACGGAAGGUCCGGGCGUUAUCCGGAUUUAUUGGGUUUAAAGGGAGCGCAGGCGGACCUUUAAGUCAGCUGUGAAAUACGGCGGCUCAACGUCUGAACUGCAGUUGAUACUGGAGGUCUUGAGUACGCACACAGGGAUGCUGGAAUUCAUGGUGUAGCGGUGAAAUGCUCAGAUAUCAUGAAGAACUCCGAUCGCGAAGGCAGGCAUCCGGGGUGCAACUGACGCUGAGGCUCGAAAGUGCGGGUAUCAAACAGGAUUAGAUACCCUGGUAGUCCGCACAGUAAACGAUGAAUACUCGCGGUUUGCGAUACAAUGUAAGCCGCCAAGCGAAAGCGUUAAGUAUUCCACCUGGGGAGUACGCCGGCAACGGUGAAACUCAAAGGAAUUGACGGGGGCCCGCACAAGCGGAGGAACAUGUGGUUUAAUUCGAUGAUACGCGAGGAACCUUACCCGGGCUUGAACUGCCAGCGGCGGAUGCAGAGACGCAUCUUUCUUCGGACGCUGGCGGAGGUGCUGCAUGGUUGUCGUCAGCUCGUGCCGUGAGGUGUCGGCUUAAGUGCCAUAACGAGCGCAACCCUCAUCCUCGUUUGCCAUCAGGUGAUGCUGGGCACUCCGGGGACACUGCCAUCGUAAGAUGUGAGGAAGGUGGGGAU
This 1145-nucleotide ribosomal RNA is filed under the name human gut metagenome. Its description in RNAcentral is "bacterial SSU rRNA". It matches the Rfam family "Bacterial small subunit ribosomal RNA", at positions 44 to 1180 of the family's 1533-position model. The record is from RNAcentral.